AACGAACGCUGGCGGCAGGCCUAACACAUGCAAGUCGAACGCCCCGCAAGGGGAGUGGCAGACGGGUGAGUAACACGUGGGAACCUACCCUUUGGUUCGGAAUAGCCCAGGGAAACUUGGGGUAAUACCGGAUAAGCCCUUCGGGGGAAAGAUUUAUCGCCGAAGGAUGGGCCCGCGUCGGAUUAGCUAGUUGGUGGGGUAACGGCCUACCAAGGCGACGAUCCGUAGCUGGUCUGAGAGGAUGAUCAGCCACACUGGGACUGAGACACGGCCCAGACUCCUACGGGAGGCAGCAGUGGGGAAUCUUGCGCAAUGGGCGAAAGCCUGACGCAGCCAUGCCGCGUGAAUGAUGAAGGUCUUAGGAUUGUAAAAUUCUUUCACCGGGGACGAUAAUGACGGUACCCGGAGAAGAAGCCCCGGCUAACUUCGUGCCAGCCGCCGCCGUAA
RNAcentral lists this ribosomal RNA (447 nucleotides) under uncultured bacterium. RNAcentral's name for it is "partial 16S ribosomal RNA". It matches the Rfam family "Bacterial small subunit ribosomal RNA", at positions 29 to 523 of the family's 1533-position model. The record is from RNAcentral.